AGUGAACGCUGGCGGUAGGCCUAACACAUGCAAGUCGAACGGCAGCACAGUAAGAGCUUGCUCUUACGGGUGGCGAGUGGCGGACGGGUGAGGAAUACAUCGGAAUCUACUUUUUCGUGGGGGAUAACGUAGGGAAACUUACGCUAAUACCGCAUACGACCUACGGGUGAAAGCAGGGGAUCUUCGGACCUUGCGCGACUGAAUGAGCCGAUGUCGGAUUAGCUAGUUGGCGGGGUAAAGGCCCACCAAGGCGACGAUCCGUAGCUGGUCUGAGAGGAUGAUCAGCCACACUGGAACUGGGACACGGUCCAGACUCCUACGGGAGGCAGCAGUGGGGAAUAUUGGACAAUGGGCGAAAGCCUGAUCCAGCCAUACCGCGUGGGUGAAGAAGGCCUUCGGGUUGUAAAGCCCUUUUGUUGGGAAAGAAAAGCAGCAGGUUAAUACCCCGCUGUUCUGACGGUACCCAAAGAAUAAGCACCGGCUAACUUCGUG
Molecule: ribosomal RNA, 492 nt
Filed under: uncultured bacterium
Lineage: Bacteria
Description: partial 16S ribosomal RNA
Rfam family: Bacterial small subunit ribosomal RNA
Source: RNAcentral